RNAcentral lists this long non-coding RNA (1020 nucleotides) under Apteryx haastii (Great spotted kiwi). RNAcentral's name for it is "lncRNA (ENSAHAG00000018347.1)". The record is from RNAcentral. Lineage: Eukaryota; Metazoa; Chordata; Aves; Apterygiformes; Apterygidae.
AAGCAGCAUGGACAAUUAGGCAGAGCCGACCCUGAAGAUGUGACUCUAUUUUCUAAUAAAAAUAAGUUUCACCCCUCUCUUCAGUUUUGUACCCUGGUUCAUAACGCAUUUUCUGUGUACACCCGUUUUACUCUCAACCUCAAAGCAAAAUCACCUCAUUUUUCCUCCGAGGUGGCUCAGGGCUUUCCACUCAGCAUUUUCCUCUCAUACCGCUCCUUCACCUCCCCCAGCCCCGGCCGCUGCCCCCGCCCAGGCGCCCCGGCGCUCCCGCCCUGGCACAGCCGCUCCUGGGACCCCCGCGCACCCGCCCGCUCCGUGCUCGCGCCGCCGGGACUGCGGGCCGCCGGGGCCCCGACGCCUCGCCCAGCCCAGGCCGCUCCGCCGUGUCCCGGGGCUGCUCUCCGCCCUCCCCACAGCCGGCCGCUCACCCCGACCCUCAGCCCCGCGCCCAGGGCCGCGGGCCCCACGCUCCCCGCCGAGGGGCCCCAGCGCUUCCGGCCGAACACCGCCGGCCCGGCGCCUCGCCGCGUUAGGUCAUCUCCUUGGGCCGGGGCGGGGCGGCGGCCGCCCCCGGGGCCGCCCCGACCUGCCGCCCCCGCGGGGCCGCCGCCCCCGCCCGCCGCGCCGGCCCCAGCCCUGCCGGCUCGGCUCGCCGCGCCGCGCCUAAUGUCGCCGGAGUUAAUGAGCGACCGCCACCCGUCGUGGGGCGCCGGGAGAGGCAGCGCCAAGUCGCCGCGGGGCCGGGGAGCCCCGCGCAGCCUCCGCGACGCCCAAAGCGGGGAACGGGUGGGAGAGGAGCCCCCGUCCCCUGUCCCUGUCCCCUCCACCGCCCCCCUUAGGGGCGCCGGGGGCACAAGGUCAGGGCACACAGACAGAGAUGUGGACUUCUUACACGGGGCAGUCAUAGCACUCGGGGGAGGCCCCAAAGCACCACAGACACCGUGCAGCUUCUCAGACACAGCCUGGAUGCGGGUGGUCGUGCAACACAGAAGCCCUCGGAGGGUUACGCCCCCAGCGUGA